CAGCCGCCGCGGUAACACGGAGGGAGCUAGCGUUGUUCGGAAUUACUGGGCGUAAAGCGCACGUAGGCGGCUACUCAAGUCGGGGGUGAAAGCCCGGGGCUCAACCCCGGAACUGCCCUCGAAACUAGGUAGCUAGAAUCUUGGAGAGGUCAGUGGAAUUCCGAGUGUAGAGGUGAAAUUCGUAGAUAUUCGGAAGAACACCAGUGGCGAAGGCGACUGACUGGACAAGUAUUGACGCUGAGGUGCGAAAGCGUGGGGAGCAAACAGGAUUAGAUACCCGAGUAGUCCCUGUCUCUUAUAU
This 301-nucleotide ribosomal RNA is filed under the name uncultured bacterium. Its description in RNAcentral is "partial 16S ribosomal RNA". It matches the Rfam family "Bacterial small subunit ribosomal RNA", at positions 509 to 809 of the family's 1533-position model. The record is from RNAcentral.